UUCCUACGGGACGCAGCAGUGAGGAAUAUUGGUCAAUGGCCGAGAGGCUGAACCAGCCAAGUCGCGUGAGGGAAGACGGCCCUACGGGUUGUAAACCUCUUUUGUCGGGGAGCAAAGCGAACCACGUGUGGUUCAUUGAGAGUACCCGAAGAAAAAGCAUCGGCUAACUCCGUGCCAGCAGCCGCGGUAAUACGGAGGAUGCGAGCGUUAUCCGGAUUUAUUGGGUUUAAAGGGUGCGUAGGCGGAUUUGUAAGUCAGCGGUAAAAAUGCGGUGCUCAACGCCGUAUCGCCGUUGAAACUGCAGG
RNAcentral lists this ribosomal RNA (305 nucleotides) under uncultured bacterium. Its description in RNAcentral is "bacterial SSU rRNA". It matches the Rfam family "Bacterial small subunit ribosomal RNA", at positions 336 to 639 of the family's 1533-position model. The record is from RNAcentral.